AUGAAGCGGUCGAUGAGGCCCAUCCUCAUCAGCGCCCACGACACGAUGCCGAACUGGGAAUCAUAGAUCCACCAGAAGGCGAUCGCCGAGAGCACCGUCG
This 100-nucleotide unclassified non-coding RNA is filed under the name fungal sp. Its description in RNAcentral is "partial internal transcribed spacer region". The record is from RNAcentral. Lineage: Eukaryota; Fungi.